GAUGAACGCUGGCGGCGUGCCUAAUACAUGCAAGUCGAGCGAACAGACGAGGAGCUUGCUCCUCUGACGUUAGCGGCGGACGGGUGAGUAACACGUGGAUAACCUACCUAUAAGACUGGGAUAACUUCGGGAAACCGGAGCUAAUACCGGAUAAUAUAUUGAACCGCAUGGUUCAAUAGUGAAAGACGGUUUUGCUGUCACUUAUAGAUGGCUCCGCGCCGCAUUAGCUAGUUGGUAAGGUAACGGCUUACCAAGGCAACGAUGCGUAGCCGACCUGAGAGGGUGAUCGGCCACACUGGAACUGAGACACGGUCCAGACUCCUACGGGAGGCAGCAGUAGGGAAUCUUCCGCAAUGGGCGAAAGCUUGACGGAGCAACGCCGCGUGAGUGAUGAAGGUCUUCGGAUCGUAAAACUCUGUUAUUAAGGAAGAACAAAUGUGUAAGUAACUAUGCACGUCUUGACGGUACCUAAUCAGAAAGCCACGGCUAACUACGUG
This 497-nucleotide ribosomal RNA is filed under the name uncultured bacterium. Its description in RNAcentral is "partial 16S ribosomal RNA". It matches the Rfam family "Bacterial small subunit ribosomal RNA", at positions 28 to 507 of the family's 1533-position model. The record is from RNAcentral.